This 233-nucleotide unclassified non-coding RNA is filed under the name Mycosphaerellaceae sp. Its description in RNAcentral is "partial contains 5.8S ribosomal RNA, internal transcribed spacer 2, and large subunit ribosomal RNA". The record is from RNAcentral. Lineage: Eukaryota; Fungi; Ascomycota; Dothideomycetes; Mycosphaerellales; Mycosphaerellaceae.
CGCACAUUGCGCCCCGUGGUAUUCCGCGGGGCAUGCCUGUUCGAGCGUCAUUUCACCACUCAAGCCUAGCUUGGUAUUGGGCGUCGCGAGUCCGCGCGCCUUAAAGUCUCCGGCUGAGCUAUCCGUCUCCCAGCGUUGUGAAUCUCAUUCGCUACGGAGUUACGAGCAGCCGCGGCCGUUAAACUUAUCUAAAGGUUGACCUCGGAUCAGGUAGGGAUACCCGCUGAACUUAA